AACGAACGCUGGCGGCAUGCCUAACACAUGCAAGUCGAACGAUGGUCUUCGGAUCAUAGUGGCGCACGGGUGCGUAACGCGUGGGAAUCUGCCCUUGGGUUCGGAAUAACAGUUGGAAACGACUGCUAAUACCGGAUGAUGUCGAUAAGACCAAAGAUUUAUCGCCCGAGGAUGAGCCCGCGUCGGAUUAGCUAGUUGGUGGGGUAAAGGCCUACCAAGGCGACGAUCCGUAGCUGGUUUGGGAGGAUGAUCAGCCACACUGGGACUGAGACACGGCCCAGACUCCUACGGGAGGCAGCAGUGGGGAAUAUUGGACAAUGGGCGCAAGCCUGAUCCAGCAAUGCCGCGUGAGUGAUGAAGGCCUUAGGGUUGUAAAGCUCUUUUACCCGGGAAGAUAAUGACUGUACCGGGAGAAUAAGCCCCGGCUAACUCCGUG
RNAcentral lists this ribosomal RNA (436 nucleotides) under uncultured bacterium. RNAcentral describes it as "partial 16S ribosomal RNA". It matches the Rfam family "Bacterial small subunit ribosomal RNA", at positions 29 to 507 of the family's 1533-position model. The record is from RNAcentral.